This 517-nucleotide ribosomal RNA is filed under the name uncultured bacterium. RNAcentral describes it as "bacterial SSU rRNA". It matches the Rfam family "Bacterial small subunit ribosomal RNA", at positions 777 to 1296 of the family's 1533-position model. The record is from RNAcentral.
AAUAGAUACCCUGGUAGUCCCAGCCUUAAACGAUGCAUACUAGAUGUAGGGAGGCUCAACCCUUUCUGUAUCGGAGUUAACGCAUUAAGUAUGCCGCCUGGGGAGUACGCUCGCAAGGGUGAAACCCAAAGAAUUGACGGGGGCCCGCACAAGCAGUGGAGCAUGUGGUUUAAUUCGAUGCUACGCGAAGAACCUUACCUGGGCUCGAAGUGUAGAGGAAUGUUUUAGAGAUAGAGCAGCUCGAAAGGGUCUCUAUAUAGGUGCUGCAUGGCUGUCGUCAGCUCGUGCCGUGAGGUGUUUGGUUAAGUCCAGCAACGAGCGCAACCCUUAUCGUUAGUUGCCAGCGCGUGAAGGCGGGAACUCUAACGAGACUGCCUAGGUUAACUAGGAGGAAGGUGAGGAUGAUGUCAAGUCCGCAUGGCCUUUAUGUCCAGGGCAACACACGUGCUACAAUGGUCGGUACAGAAGGCAGCGAAGCCGCGAGGUGGAGCAAUCCUAAAAGCCGAUCUCAGUUCGG